RNAcentral lists this transfer RNA (64 nucleotides) under Leconectes striatellus. Its description in RNAcentral is "tRNA-Cys". Lineage: Eukaryota; Metazoa; Arthropoda; Insecta; Coleoptera; Dytiscidae. The record is from RNAcentral.
AAUAUCGUAGUUUAUUCAAAAUUUUAAAUUGCAAAUUUAAAGAGGGGCCUUAUUCCCGAUAUUU